Scylla paramamosain (green mud crab) is the source of this 1360-nucleotide long non-coding RNA. RefSeq lists it as uncharacterized. NCBI's taxonomy places the organism in Eukaryota, Metazoa, Arthropoda, Malacostraca, Decapoda, Portunidae. The record is from RefSeq and is a predicted model, not a curated record. The transcript has 7 exons.
CCGGGCGAGGCGCGUCGCGGCGGCAGCAUGUUUCUGAGACAUGGAUGAUGCAGUAGUCCCCUCCCAAACUUCUCCAGAGCCUCUCGGUGCCUGGUGGAUAUUCUGGACAGACUCAGGGUGGUCAGGGCUUCUUCAUAGGUGGUGUAUGCAGGGCCAAGGAUGACCCUGCACGCCCUUUUCUGCACACUCUCUAGCUGUAGCUGUUGAGUGUGUGUGAGGGAGGAGGACCACUCUGGGGAGGCGUACAUGAGUUUGGGGAGGAUGAAGGUAAGGUACACCCCCCUUAACUCAUCUGUCGGCGUCCCCAGCGACCUGAGUCUGCGCAGCAUGUACAGCCUGUAGGUAGCUGAUCUCACGGUGCUGGCGACAUGCUGCUUCCAGGUCAGCUGGUCGUCCACCGUGACUCCGAGAAGCUUGGCACAUUGGACCACCUGGAGGGGGUGAGGGCCCACUGUGAGCCGGGGAGGGGGGCACUGGUACAGAAGAGGUACAGAAAUGCAUCACCACAGUUUUGCUGUGGUGAUGUGUAGCCGGGUUCAGUGGUAACAAUUACAAGUGGAAGCUAUGCAAGGAGCAAUCCAGGAGGCCGUUUUAAACAGUAACCCCAUGCUGUGGCUCUUUGACCCUGCCCAAGUACAGUUUCUAAAUGUACACAUUCGACGCACACGCAUCGUAGAGGACCCCAUCAGCCAACUGCUGCACCACAAGGUCACCGAUUACAAACGGCCAUUGAAGGUCCACUUCAUCAGGGAGGAGGUAGAGGAUGCAGGUGGGGUACGGAAGGAAUUUUUCUUGCUCCUCCUAAGAGAUAUUUUGAAUCCAGACUAUGGUAUGUUUACUGAGUUCCCCGACACAAGAAGGAUUUGGUUCAAGGAGGGAGCUCUGGAGGCGGCUGCUACCUAUAUGUUGAUUGGCAUUGUGUGUGGACUGGCAAUCUACAACUUCACCAUCAUCAACCUGCCCUUCCCAAUUGCACUGUACAAGAAGUUACAGUGAGAGACUGUAGGCUUGGAUGACCUCGCCGACCUUGACCCGCAGCUGACCAGGUCACUGCGAGAUCUGCUGGAGUACGAGGGAGGUGAUGAGGAGGAAGUUUAUGGCCUCAACUUCACUUUGACCCAGGAUUACUUUGGGGAGUGCAAGAGUGUCCCCCUGAAGGCUGGAGGGGAGGAGAUGUCAGUCACACAGCAGAACAAGGCAAAUAUUUCCCAGACCACCCAGUCAUACGCAUGUUCUGGGAAGUAUUUCACAAACUCUCCCUGGAGCAGAAGAAGUUGUUUUUGAAGUUCCUGACGGGCACUGACAGGGUUCCUAUUCUGGGCAUGAAGGUAGGUGAGAGAGAGAGAGAGAGAGAGAGAGA